RNAcentral lists this ribosomal RNA (811 nucleotides) under uncultured Enterococcaceae bacterium. RNAcentral's name for it is "SSU rRNA". It matches the Rfam family "Bacterial small subunit ribosomal RNA", at positions 64 to 843 of the family's 1533-position model. The record is from RNAcentral. Lineage: Bacteria; Bacillati; Bacillota; Bacilli; Lactobacillales; Enterococcaceae.
GAACGCUUCUUUCCUCCCGAGUGCUUGCACUCAAUUGGAAAGAGGAGUGGCGGACGGGUGAGUAACACGUGGGUAACCUACCCAUCAGAGGGGGAUAACACUUGGAAACAGGUGCUAAUACCGCAUAACAGUUUAUGUCGCAUGGCAUAAGAGUGAAAGGCGCUUUCGGGUGUCGCUGAUGGAUGGACCCGCGGUGCAUUAGCUAGUUGGUGAGGUAACGGCUCACCAAGGCCACGAUGCACAGCCGACCUGAGGGGGUGAUCGGCCACACUGGGACUGAGACACGGCCCAGACUCCUACGGGAGGCAGCAGUAGGGAAUCUUCGGCAAAGGACGAAAGUCUGACCGAGCAACGCCGCGUGAGUGAAGAAGGUUUUCGGAUCGUAAAACUCUGUUGUUAGAGAAGAACAAGGACGUUAGUAACUGAACGUCCCCUGACGGUAUCUAACCAGAAAGCCACGGCUAACUACGUGCCAGCAGCCGCGGUAAUACGUAGGUGGCAAGCGUUGUCCGGAUUUAUUUGGGCGUAAAGCGAGCGCAGGCGGUUUCUUAAGUCUGAUGUGAAAGCCCCCGGCUCAACCGGGGAGGGUCAUUGGAAACUGGGAGACUUGAGUGCAGAAGAGGAGAGUGGAAUUCCGUGUGUAGCGGUGAAAUGCGUAGAUAUAUGGAGGAACACCAGUGGCGAAGGCGGCUCUCUGGUCUGUAACUGACGCUGAGGCUCGAAAGCGUGGGGAGCAAACAGGAUUAGAUAUCACUGGUAGUCCACGCCGUAAACGAUGAGUGCUAAGUGUUGGAGGGUUACCGCCCUUCAG